GAGCAUAAUACCCCAUAGACCACUACGCCUGGAACGGUGAGUGGUUCAAAGCUUCGGCGGUGUAGGAUGGGUCUGCGGCGUAUCAGGUCGUAGGGGGUGUAAUGGACCUCCUAGCCAUCGACGCGUACGGGUUGUGGGAGCAAUAGCCCGGAGACGGAUUCUGAGACACGAAUCCGGACCCUACGGGGUGCAGCAGGCGCGAAAACUUCACACUGCAGGAAACUGUGAUGAGGGAACUCCAAGUGACUGCACAAUGUGUAGCCUUUUCAUGAAUCUUAAUAGUUCUUGGAAUAAGGGCUGGGAAAGACCGGUGCCAGCCGCCGCGGUAAUACCGGCAGCUCAAGUGGUCGUCGCUUUUAUUGGGCCUAAAACGUCCGUAGCCUGUUUGGUAAAUCUGUGGGUAAAUCAACGAGCUUAACUCGUUGAAUUCUGCAGAGACUGCCAGACUAGGGACCGGGAGAGGUAUGAGGUACUCUGGGGGUAGGGGUAAAAUCCUGUCAUCCCCAGAGGACCACCUGUUGCGAAGGCGUCAUACUGGAACGGAUCCGACGGUCAGGGACGAAGCCUAGGGGCACGAACCGGAUUAGAUACCCGGGUAGUCCUAGGUGUAAACGCUGUGGAU
This 622-nucleotide ribosomal RNA is filed under the name uncultured archaeon. Its description in RNAcentral is "bacterial SSU rRNA". It matches the Rfam family "Archaeal small subunit ribosomal RNA", at positions 142 to 767 of the family's 1478-position model. The record is from RNAcentral.